This 387-nucleotide ribosomal RNA is filed under the name uncultured bacterium. Its description in RNAcentral is "bacterial SSU rRNA". It matches the Rfam family "Bacterial small subunit ribosomal RNA", at positions 28 to 417 of the family's 1533-position model. The record is from RNAcentral.
GACGAACGCUGGCGGCGUGCUUAACACAUGCAAGUCGAGCGGUAAGGCCCUUUCGGGGGUACACGAGCGGCGAACGGGUGAGUAACACGUGGGUGACCUGCCCUCAGCUCUGGGAUAAGCCUGGGAAACCGGGUCUAAUACUGGAUAUGACUCCAUGACGCAUGUUGUGGGGUGGAAAGCCUUGUGCGGCUGAGGAUGGGCCCGCGGCCUAUCAGCUUGUUGGUGGGGUGAGGCCUACCAAGGCGACGACGGGUAGCCGGCCUGAGAGGGCGACCGGCCACACUGGGACUGAGACACGGCCCAGACUCCUACGGGAGGCGGCAGUGGGGAAUCUUGCGCAAUGGGCGAAAGCCUGACGCAGCGACGCCGCGUGAGGGAUGACGGCCU